Molecule: ribosomal RNA, 468 nt
Filed under: uncultured bacterium
Lineage: Bacteria
Description: partial 16S ribosomal RNA
Rfam family: Bacterial small subunit ribosomal RNA
Source: RNAcentral
GACGAACGCUGGCGGCGUGCUUAACACAUGCAAGUCGAACGGCAAGGCACUGCGUUUGUGCGGUUCUCGAGGGCGGAAGGCGGGAGGAACAGGUGUGUAACCUGACCUUGUCUUUGGGAUAACUUAAGGAAACGGGGGUUAAUACCGGAUAGGAGCCCCUGCAGCAUGGUGGGGGGUGGAACGUCUCGGCGUGUGGGGAUGGACUGGCGGCUUAUCGGCUUGCUGGUGGGGUAGUGGCUUACCAAGGCUUUGACGGGUAGCCGGCCUGAGAGGGUGACCGGCCACAUUGGGACUUAGAUGCGGCCGAGACUCCUACGGGAGGAAGCAGUGGGGAAUAUUGCACAAUGCGCGGCAGGUGGAUGCAGCAACGCCGCGUGCUGGAUAGCGCCCUUCGGGUUAUAAACCGGUUGCGCCUGUAAAGAAGCGUGAGUUAAGGUAACGGGUAAAGAAGGACCGGCCAAAUACGGG